CCUACGGGUGGCAGCAGUGGGGAAUAUUGGGCAAUGGGCGCAAGCCUGACCCAGCCAAGUCGCGUGAGGGAUGACGGUCCUAUGGAUUGUAAACCUCUUUUGUCGGGGAGCAAGGCCCGCCACGUGUGGCCGGAAGGAGAGUACCCGCAGAAAAAGCAUCGGCAAACUCCGUGCCAGCAGCCGCGGUAAUACGGAGGAUGCGAGGGUUAUCCGGAUUUAUUGGGUUAAAGGGGUGCGAAGGCGGUAGGUUAAGUCAGCGGUAAAAUGUCGGUGCUCAACACCGGCCUGCCGUUGAAACUGGUCUUCUUGAGUGAGCGAGAGGUAUGCGGAAUGCGUGGUGUAGCGGUGAAAUGCAUAGAUAUCACGUAGAACUCCGAUUGCGAAGGCAGCAUACCGGCGCUCAACUGACGCUGAGGCACGAAAGCGUGGGGAUCGAACAGGAUUAGAUACCCCUGUAGUC
RNAcentral lists this ribosomal RNA (460 nucleotides) under uncultured bacterium. RNAcentral describes it as "partial 16S ribosomal RNA". It matches the Rfam family "Bacterial small subunit ribosomal RNA", at positions 338 to 795 of the family's 1533-position model. The record is from RNAcentral.